RNAcentral lists this ribosomal RNA (253 nucleotides) under uncultured bacterium. Its description in RNAcentral is "partial 16S ribosomal RNA". It matches the Rfam family "Bacterial small subunit ribosomal RNA", at positions 524 to 776 of the family's 1533-position model. The record is from RNAcentral.
UACGGAGGGGGCUAGCGUUGUUCGGAAUUACUGGGCGUAAAGCGCACGUAGGCGGAUCGUUAAGUCGGGGGUGAAAUCCCGGGGCUCAACCCCGGAACUGCCUUCGAUACUGGCGAUCUUGAGUCCGGAAGAGGUGAGUGGAGCUCCUAGUGUAGAGGUGGAAUUCGUAGAUAUUAGGAAGAACACCAGUGGCGAAGGCGGCUUCCUGGACAGUUACUGACGCUGAGACGCGAAAGCGUGGGGAGCAAACAGG